RNAcentral lists this long non-coding RNA (426 nucleotides) under Homo sapiens (human). RNAcentral describes it as "non-protein coding lnc-MYLIP-4:1". The record is from RNAcentral. Lineage: Eukaryota; Metazoa; Chordata; Mammalia; Primates; Hominidae.
AUGGCUGUAGCAGCAGUAAAAUAGAGGACAGUAAAGCAAAUUGUCUUGAAACAUUUAUUUCCAAUGCAAAAUGGAGCUUUAUACUGUGUGUGUUAUAAAUCUAUGUAUUCUUCUCUACCUGAUGACUAUAAUUGCAAAACAGAGCUUGCUGUGACUUCCAAUGGCAGGAAGUGAGCCUGCUACCACUCUCCUGUGGACAUUCCCUAUGAAUACACAAAACCCAUCCUUCAACCACAUCCUGGGCACAAUAAUGAAGAAAUACAAGAUCAAGUGCUGAAAACCAGAUUGGAAGAAAAAGGUGAACACCUUGAGCAAAGACCCAUGAUAGAACAACUUAGCAAAAUGUUCUUUAGUAUUACACGCUGUUGGUAUUCUCAUGGACAGUAUUAAAGAUGUUGCAAGAAACUAGAUCUUCUAAAAGGCAGA